UCUUUUUUCUUUAUGUCACUACAGAAUUGUUCGAGUGCAGGCACAGGAACCAUGUGUUUUGAACGCACGCAUAUAAAUAAAUAACUUUCGCCAUAUCGGCCAGACAUCCGUGCUCUCCCGCCCACACAUUUAAUACAACAUUAUAUGUAGCCGUUCCCCUACUCGUACAUUAUGCUUUCGGCCAUCGCCAGACGACACUUGUCGUUCUCCAUAAUUGAUUUCUCACGAACUUGCACCCGGCAAUUCAAAAUCGAGGCCUCUUCGGAUACAGAUACGGAUACCUAUGCAGAUACAGAUAAUGAUACUACUGGAUGCGCCGCUGUGGGGUGUGGAAAACUGGCCCUGAUAUGGUUAUCAGGCGAGAGUGUAUGCAUUCGCGGAGAAAUGCAAUAAACAAGAUAGUGCCCCACUGAGUCACUGACAUCAAAAGAAGCGGACCGACCACACGAUAACUCCAUUCGAUGGAUGAUCCUGACCAUGGCCAGCGGGUAGUUUUUUCUAUAUAUUACGGCAUGAUACAUGGACAUUUUCACUUAAAAGUUGCGUAAGCAUUCGUAUUAAGCAAUGAGUAGUAGUACCUUCGAUUUGAUAAGAUAUGAUUUUCUUGACGUAAUAAUAUUUCCGUGUUUUUACGCACCCUUCUUGGGCUUAACCAUGUGUCACUGCAUUUAUAUUGGUGUCAAGUGCAGAGCCUACAUAAAAUAUAGUAUAAUAAAUAAUAACUUAACUUCCUCUCCA
Molecule: non-coding RNA, 738 nt
Organism: Drosophila kikkawai
Lineage: Eukaryota; Metazoa; Arthropoda; Insecta; Diptera; Drosophilidae
Source: RefSeq, a predicted model, not a curated record